UCUAAAACAUUAAAAUGUAUGACUGGCACACGAAACCUUAAAUUAGAGUGAAUCGAUGAAGACUCGGCCCACCACUUCUGAAAGGUUGCCGACCCCUGCGUUAUACCCUAUAGAAUCUCCCUCCCUCACCUUGAUAGCAUCCCUUAUAGAGCCACCCCAUAGAGUCCCCCUCCCUCACUUGGGUGGCAUCCCUUAUAGAGCCCUGCCCAAACACACACAUCACACCCUGUAGAGUCCCUCCACCUGGUGUCUCACACUUUAGGGCCCCACAACAGUGCUGUCCUGGAUAGGGAGACUUGGAAGGCAGAGAUUUUAAUCAGUAAAUGCCCCCAAAAGUCAUGAGAUGUGUGACCCAUGAGUUUUGAACUUUUGGAGCUGGCCAUAUUGUUGAUGCAACAAUUUAUAUAUUCUCCUGUCUAGAGCUUUUCGAAAAAGGUGUGGUUCAUGCCAUACCGCUGCCCAGAUCACUCCUGCAAUAACCAGCAGACCCCUCGUCUUUUCUCUCACUGAAAACCCAGAGUUAGCUGUAUAAAUGCCCAGAGAUCAUAGAGUCACCUGAGAGUCUUUGAGAGAAUGGAGAGACCCAUCUGUGGUGUCAGUAAACAACUUGGGUUCUGCAAAAGGAAGAUCUCUGACACUAUUUUGGACCUCCUGGGAGAAACCAGAGGACUGCACCCAAGAAGCUAGGUGCAUGAGUACUGCCAUAGCCAUGGGAUGCAUAGCCCUGGUGAAAUUGUUUUCUCUGAUCCUGAGGCAAGAGUUCAGUAAAGGCUAAGAACUUGGAAUAAUUUGUGAAGACACACUUCGCCAUCAGUGCUUGGUAAUUGGCUACUCUGAAUCGCAAAGAAGCCAAGGAGUAGCUCUUGUGAUCAAGAAGGUCCAGUCGCUUCAGCUCUUUGUUAGAUGGUGCUGAAUGGAAUCUGUGCUGUGUGUUCCUCUUAUUUGCAGCCUCAACAACCAGAUUGUUGUAUGUAGCCUACGAGAAAAAAUAUUCUGAGCCUCUGGGUGGAACACAGUAUUUUUUGUCAGCCCAUUUGCAUGUAGGCAGGAUAGUAGCUGGAGUUUGCCAUACCGGGCAUGCUAGAGCUAACAAUGUCAUUGAUGGGAAAGGCAAUCCUGGCCGGGGGGAGAUGUAUGAUGAAUGUCCACCAGGGAGCGUUGCAGUUCCUGUAUCUCUGCCAACAGAAUUUGUAAACUGUCCACUGUACAUUUCCUCAGGUCUUGAAAGGCCUUGAAAUCAUCAGGGUAAGAUGGUGGAAGAGACAUGAUCUCCACCUCCAUCUGGUGAAAAGAAGGACUUGUGGGAGGAAGGUGUUUCUUCCUCAUCAGCUGAUUCCUCCUACACAGUGAAAUGCACCGGAGGGACAAGGCUUGAGGUAGCUGGUUGUUGCUCUUGAUAUUUUUCUUAUGAGACCAGGCCCGAUAGAACUGGUCGCUGUAGGGGGCCCACAGGUUCAAACAUAUCCUCUGAGGUGGGGCAUAAGGGAAAAGGGGAGGGCCCCAAGGUUGUCCUUGCCAGAGUCUCUGGAUAUAUUGCCUGCUGGGAGUUUCCUCCUCAGGUUGGACCUCCAGGGAAUGAGGCAGACGACCCUACUACAGACACCUCAGAGUCAGAUGAGAUAUCAUCCCCCAUGUCCAUCAGAGGAGCAGAAAGUGCCAGUACCAGAGAUCAAGUCAGUACUGGGCCCCAGGGAGGUAACUUGUACCUUUAUCAGCAAACACGUUCAAUAGCUGGCUGGUUCAUGAGGCAGCACUAGGGGAAGUCAUGUUGGUACCCACUGGAAAUCUCUCUCAGAACCCUCAAAGAGUCUGUGUGGGGACCCUGGCAUAGAUAGAGGGCAAGUAGGUUCUGUAAAAUGAGUUGGUGCCUGUGGAGAGUGUCUCUCAGUAGUGGUCAAUAGUUGUGAUUCAUACUCUUCCAAGGUGGAACACAGGCCUGGACAGUCUGGGCACUGAAGAUAGGGAUCCUCAGGAGUCGGUAUGUCAGGUGGAGACAGUACCGAAGAGUGAUUGGUAUGUGACGAGGAUUUAGUCUGGACUCCGGAGUUCUUAUGUUUUGAAGGUACCUGGUCCGGCGCCAAGGUUGAUGGCACUUUAGGAGGCUUCUCAGUACGUGGCUUCUUUGCCAGUGUUGUGGAAUCAGUACCGGAGGGGAUGGGCACCUCAGUGAUGCCUGUAGUGGGAUGUGAGGUCUCCUAGGGCACAGAUGGGGGGAGGAGGGGACUUUUCCCUUCUCUUAUCCUGUUCUGGAGAAUGGGUCGUGUAUUCUUUAAAGGUCUGGGUGGUGCUGCAGUGCGUCAGGGUCUUUGCUUACUGCCAGAACAGAGGUGGUGGGUGGGGCUGACAUACAACGGGAUGGUUUGGACCCUGCGGGUCUCAGCAAGUGAGCGCUCCAUUAACUGGGGUUUUAUUCUAUCCUCCCUCAACCUCUUAGAUCUGCUCUUAAAUCCUGAGCAGAUCUGACAUUUGGAGGGGAUGUGAGACUCCCCAAGCCAGCAGAGGCAGUUUGAAUGUCUGUUGCCGCAGAGGGAGACCUAUGGCAAGUCUGGCAGGGUUUGAAGCCUGACAUGUUGGGCAUAACCUGCACUUCAGACCUUGGGUUGAGGCUCGAGAAAAAUUGGACAAAAGGAGAGAGUUAGGGGGACCCCUCCCCCCAACACGAACUGUGCUAAAUAACAGAAAACAUAAGAGACAGGUGUACCUGAGCCACAUGGCCCAGCUAACGGCAGUGCAGUGCUCCAUCUCAAGCUGCAGGUGGCUUAGCGGGAACUGGAGUGGUGGCAGAUCUGUCCCCCAUGAGGGGCCUGAGUGUGUCUAGGACACAGGUGCAGACCGCUGGACACUGCUGAUGUAGAUCUCCAAUGAAGAGCACAUGGGCACAUGCAUAUCUUGACGUGGAGCACCCGUAGGGACCCUACUUGAAAAAGAAUCCUUUUUCCACUGACUAAUCGUUUUUACAGUUAGGAAGUUUUUUAUCCCAUUCAACAUACGU
This is a long non-coding RNA of Mauremys mutica (yellowpond turtle), 2992 nucleotides long. RefSeq lists it as uncharacterized. The record is from RefSeq and is a predicted model, not a curated record. Lineage: Eukaryota; Metazoa; Chordata; Testudines; Geoemydidae. The transcript is spliced from 4 exons.